Molecule: non-coding RNA, 30 nt
Filed under: Rattus norvegicus (Norway rat)
Lineage: Eukaryota; Metazoa; Chordata; Mammalia; Rodentia; Muridae
Source: RNAcentral
UAAAUGUCCACUAAAUAUGGCCAACCUAAC